Molecule: ribosomal RNA, 775 nt
Filed under: uncultured Neocallimastigales
Lineage: Eukaryota; Fungi; Neocallimastigomycota; Neocallimastigomycetes; Neocallimastigales
Description: partial large subunit ribosomal RNA
Rfam family: Eukaryotic large subunit ribosomal RNA
Source: RNAcentral
UACGACUACAUACAGGCAUAUCAAUAAGCGGAGGAAAAGAAACUAACAAGGAUUCCCUUAGUAACGGCGAGUGAAGCGGGAAGAGCUCAAAUUUGAAAUCUUCAAGGUUCUACCUUGACGAAUUGUAGCUUAAAGAAGUGUUUUCUGUUAGAUGAGUAGCAAAAGUUCCUUGGAAUGGGACAUCAUAGAGGGUGAGAAUCCCGUAUUUGGUUAUUCAUUCUAGCUUUGUGAUACACUUUCAAAGAGUCGGAUUGUUUGGGAAUGCAGUCCAAAAUGGGUGGUAAAUUUCAUCUAAAGCUAAAUAUUGGCGAGAGACCGAUAGCGAACAAGUACCGUGAGGGAAAGAUGAAAAGAACUUUGAAAAGAGAGUUAAACAGUACGUGAAAUUGUCAAAAGGGAAGCGUUUGACACCAGUGUUGUUUUUUCCGAAAAUCAAUUACGAAUGGCUUGAUUUUGUGUUGUAUUGACCUUAUCAGCUUUCUGCACUUUUUUCGAGUCUUUCUUAAUGCACUUUUUGGUUAACAAGUCAACAUCAAUUUCUUUUGUUGUAAAAGAGUAUUCGGAAGGUGGCUUUCUUUUCGGAGAAAGUGUUUAUAGCCCUAUACUUCUACAAUCGGAGAGAUUGAGGUCUGCAGCGUAGAUCCUUCGGGGUUAGAUACACUUGUGCUAAGUUGUAGCUUUUCAUAGACAACUUGUUGACUAUGUUUAGUCAUGCGGCUUACUCGCUUAUGCCUAUUUUACCUACGCUUAGGAUGUUGAGUAGCGACAUACGCAC